RNAcentral lists this ribosomal RNA (271 nucleotides) under uncultured bacterium. RNAcentral describes it as "partial 16S ribosomal RNA". It matches the Rfam family "Bacterial small subunit ribosomal RNA", at positions 524 to 794 of the family's 1533-position model. The record is from RNAcentral.
UACAGAGGGUGCAAGCGUUAAUCGGAAUUACUGGGCGUAAAGGGCGCGUAGGUGGUUUAUUAAGUGAGAUGUGAAAUCCCUGGGCUUAACCUAGGAACUGCAUCUUAUACUGAUAGACUAGAGUACUGUAGAGGGUAGUGGAAUUUCCGGUGUAGCGGUGAAAUGCGUAGAGAUCGGAAGGAACACCAGUGGCGAAGGCGGCUACCUGGACAGAUACUGACACUGAGGCGCGAGAGCGUGGGGAGCAAACAGGAUUAGAAACCCCGGUAGU